UGCAAGUCGAGCGGUAGAGAGAAGCUUGCUUCUCUUGAGAGCGGCGGACGGGUGAGUAAUGCCUAGGAAUCUGCCUGGUAGUGGGGGAUAACGUUCGGAAACGGACGCUAAUACCGCAUACGUCCUACGGGAGAAAGCAGGGGACCUUCGGGCCUUGCGCUAUCAGAUGAGCCUAGGUCGGAUUAGCUAGUUGGUGAGGUAAUGGCUCACCAAGGCUACGAUCCGUAACUGGUCUGAGAGGAUGAUCAGUCACACUGGAACUGAGACACGGUCCAGACUCCUACGGGAGGCAGCAGUGGGGAAUAUUGGACAAUGGGCGAAAGCCUGAUCCAGCCAUGCCGCGUGUGUGAAGAAGGUCUUCGGAUUGUAAAGCACUUUAAGUUGGGAGGAAGGGCAUUAACCUAAUACGUUAGUGUUUUGACGUUACCGACAGAAUAAGCACCGGCUAACUCUGUGCCAGCAGCCGCGGUAAUACAGAGGGUGCAAGCGUUAAUCGGAAUUACUGGGCGUAAAGCGCGCGUAGGUGGUUUGUUAAGUUGGAUGUGAAAUCCCCGGGCUCAACCUGGGAACUGCAUUCAAAACUGACUGACUAGAGUAUGGUAGAGGGUGGUGGAAUUUCCUGUGUAGCGGUGAAAUGCGUAGAUAUAGGAAGGAACACCAGUGGCGAAGGCGACCACCUGGACUAAUACUGACACUGAGGUGCGAAAGCGUGGGGAGCAAACAGGAUUAGAUACCCUGGUAGUCCACGCCGUAAACGAUGUCAACUAGCCGUUGGAAGCCUUGAGCUUUUAGUGGCGCAGCUAACGCAUUAAGUUGACCGCCUGGGGAGUACGGCCGCAAGGUUAAAACUCAAAUG
RNAcentral lists this ribosomal RNA (856 nucleotides) under uncultured Pseudomonadales bacterium. RNAcentral's name for it is "SSU rRNA". It matches the Rfam family "Bacterial small subunit ribosomal RNA", at positions 56 to 907 of the family's 1533-position model. Lineage: Bacteria; Pseudomonadati; Pseudomonadota; Gammaproteobacteria; Pseudomonadales. The record is from RNAcentral.